AGGGUUUAUGGUGGAUGCCUUGGAGCUGUAUGGCGAGGAAGGACGUGGCUAACUGCGAAAAGCCUCGGGGAGGAGUAAACAUCCUGUGAUCCGUGGAUAUCCGAAUGGGGUAACCCGGCUACCUUGAAUGGUAGUCAUCAUAUGCUGAAUAAAUAGGUAUAUGAAGCUAAACUUAGGGAACUGAACCAUCUAAGUACCUAAAGGAAAAGAAAUCAACCGAGAUUCCCCUAGUAGCGGCGAGCGAAAAGGGAAGAGCCUAAACUGAAAUUGUGUAAGGUCAGCACCGUUGCGAUUUCAGUGUUGCAAGUCAUUGUUGGAGAUGAUGCUGGACAUCUCGUACAGUCAUAAAAGUUUUUUGUAGUAGAAUAUUCUGGAAAGGAUAACCGAAGAAGGUGAUAGUCCUGUAUACGAAACAAAAGGCACUGUAUGGAUAAUGAACUUAAGUACGACGGGACACGAGUAAUCUUGUCGGAAUCAGGGGGGCCCACCCUCCAAGGCUAAAUACAAGACAGCUACCGAUAGCGAAUAGUACCGUGAGGGAAAGGUGAAAAGUACCCCGGAAGGGGAGUGAAAUAGAACCUGAAACCAUAAACCUACAAGUGGUCAAAGCCUGAAUACAGGUGAUGGCGUGCCUUUUGUAGAAUGAGCCUGCGAGUUAUCCUCUGUAGCGAGGUUAAGUGAUAGAAGUCACGGAGCCGAAGGGAAACCGAGUCUGAAUAGGGCGUCUAGUUGCAGGGGGUAGACCCGAAACCAAGUGAUCUAUCCAUGGUCAGGUUGAAGCUUGGGUAAGACCAAGUGGAGGACCGAACACUAGUCUGUUUAAAAAGGCAGUGAUGAACUGUGGAUCGGAGUGAAAGGCUAAUCAAACUUGGAGAUAGCUGGCACUCCCCGAAAUAGCUUUAGGGCUAGCCUCGUAUUGAUAAUAGCGGAGGUAGAGCACUGAAUGGGCUAGGGCCUGUCACAGGGUACCAAACUCAAUCAAACUCCGAAUGCCGUUAUUCAAUGUACGGGAGUCAGACUACGGGUGAUAAGAUUCGUGGUCAAGAGGGAAACAGCCCAGAUCGUCGUCUAAGGUCCCCAAACUAUGCUAAGUGGAAAAGGAAGUGCAAUGGCGAAGACAGCCAGGAGGUUGGCUUAGAAGCAGCCACUCCUUUAAAGAGUGCGUAAUAGCUCACUGGUCGAGUUGUAGUGCGCCUACAAUAUAACGGGGCUAAGCAUAGUACCGAAGACACGGCUCAGUAUUUAUACUGGGGGUAGGGGAGCAUUGUGUAGGCUGAUGAAGGUGAUCUGAGAGGAUUGCUGGAGGUAUCACAAGAGAGAAUGCAGGCAUGAGUAACGAAAAGAGAGGUGAGAUCCCUCUCCGCCGAAAGCCUAAGGUUUCCUAGGGUAAAGGUAAUCUGCCCAGGGUUAGUCGGCCCCUAAGACGAGGCUGAAAAGCGUAGUCGAUGGGAAACUGGUUAAUAUUCCAGUACCUCUAACAGUUUUGAGGGAAUGACGCAUGAGGUGAAGCGCUGCCAGGCGUUGGUUGUCCUGGUUUAAAUAACAAGCUUAAGAGAGCGAUAGGCAAAUCCGUCGUUUGAGGUGAGUUAUGAAGAUGAGUGGAACUACGGUGAAGCGAAAUGCGUGGAGUCAAGGUGCCAAGAAAUAAUUUCUAAAGUUAGGCUGUUAGGGACCGUACCGUAAACCGACACAGGUAGGCGGGAUGAGUAUUCUAAGGCGCUCGGGAGAAUUCACGUUAAGGAACUCGGCAAAAUGCAGACGUAACUUCGGGAGAAGUCUGACCUUUUUUGGAUGUUAAAGUUUGAGAGAGGUUGCAGUGAAAUGGCUAAAGCGACUGUUUACCAAAAACACAGGUCUCUGCGAAAUUGUAAAAUGACGUAUAGGGGCUGACACCUGCCCGGUGCCGGAAGGUUAAGAGGAGUUGUUCACGCAGCGAAUUGAAGCCCCGGUAAACGGCGGCCGUAACUAUAACGGUCCUAAGGUAGCGAAAUUCCUUGUCAGGUAAGUUCUGACCCGCACGAAUGGUGUAACGACUUUAGCGCUGUCUCAACGUGAAGCCCGGUGAAAUUAAAGUAUCGGUGAAGAUGCCGAUUACCCGUGGUUAGACGGAAAGACCCCGUGAACCUUUACUGUAGCUUGGCAUUGAAAAUUGUCAUAACAUGUGUAGGAUAGGUGGGAGACUUAGAACUCAGGCCGCUAGGUUUGAGGGAGUCGUUGGUGAAAUACCACCCUUGUUCUGUUAAUUUUCUAACGGGUUCCAUUAUCUGGAAUCUGGACAUUGUCAGGUGGGCAGUUUGACUGGGGCGGUCGCCUCCUAAAGAGUAACGGAGGCGCGCGAAGGUAACCUUAUCCUGGUUGGAAAUCAGGAGGCAAGUGUAAAGGCAAAAGGUUGCUUGACUGCGAGACAUACAGGUCGAGCAGGUACGAAAGUAGGUCUUAGUGAUCUGGCGGUGGUGAGUGGAAACGCCGUCACUUAACGGAUAAAAGGUACUCCGGGGAUAACAGGCUGAUUUUGCCCAAGAGUUCAUAUCGACGGCAAAGUUUGGCACCUCGAUGUCGGCUCAUCGCAUCCUGGGGCUGG
Molecule: ribosomal RNA, 2581 nt
Filed under: oral metagenome
Description: bacterial LSU rRNA
Rfam family: Bacterial large subunit ribosomal RNA
Source: RNAcentral